GGCGGCGGGGGUGCAGCGAACGCAGGUUCACCCCUCUCCUUUUUCCUUCGCCCUCUCCCUCUGGACUCUGCGCUGAAGCCACAGUGAGGCUCCCCCCUCUUUCUGGUCCCCAGUCGGACUCAGCGAGCCAGGGCUCCGGGCUUUGCGCCGGUGCUGAGGUCAGAGAGGGGAGCCGCGGCCCGCAGGCCUGGACAGCACCCGGGUAAGCAGGGCGCAGCCGCAAUGGCUCGCUCCUAGCUGGGAACCCACGACCCGCGAAGCUGGAGAGCGCACUCGCCGGCCGCUGAGCCCCAGACCCGCCGCAGUCUCCAAACGCGUAAGCCCUGCAGGCAGCGCGGCAGGACGCACGGAAAUCUGUGCCUGCACAGCGCCGAUCUUUCUCCGCUGGACUCUAACGCGCCGCGUAGCCCGAAGCGCUUUCUCUCGGUGGCUACGGCUGUGCAUUUUAAUUCCAAAGCCCAGUGGUUGAAUCAUCUCUAAGUUGGCGGGCGAAGGGGGCGGUGGCAGGAAACUGGGUAGCUGAAUGCCUUUGCCUGCAGGGUGGCAGAGCUGUUCCCACCAAUAGCGACGGCUCAGGGCUGGCUUUGUAGUUAUUUUUACAAGUUCUGCCCGGUGCCCAGCAUAUUGCCCUGAAAAGCAAGAGGCUGCUGCAAUUUAUUCCAAUGAGCGGUUUUUAAGAAGCUGGCAAUUUGAAACGGCUGGGUGUUAUUUAGUGCAAUAUGAAAUCAAAUGAUCCUAUUUCUCAAAUAACAGUGUCUGUGAGGAGAAGUGAAUCCUCUGAAAGGGUAAUUGUCAGCUGAUGGUGUUUCCCAUUAUGCCCGAUCUUGGCCUAAAUGGUGUGCGGCAGCGGGGCUGAGAGCGAGGGCUGAAAUCAACGCGCGAACUCGCGCUCUGAAGGCAAGAAAAGACAGCACCGCUCGCGUCCUGAUCUAGAGAAGCUGAGGAAGAAACGGUAAUUCCCGCAUAGCCGAGGAGCCCGGCCUAGGAAGCUUCCAUCCCAUUCUCAGAGGGAGGUUCAGCCACCGCACCUGUAGCCCAAGGCACUGGACCCCAGGCACGCCAUUUCUGGAGCUCUCUCGGGCCUCUCUAGCUGAAGGAAAGCGGGUAGUCUAGGUUCAGUCGGAGGCAUCCCCUCCAGGAUGUCAUUGCUCGGCUGAAACUCAGCCAGCAGCCGCCCUCCUGCCAGGCCAGGGCACCGCAGGACGCCCGGGCCUCCGGAGUCCGGGUGUGGCGCUUUCAUUCUCUCCUUCCCACUCAGCAUCUAAACAGCCCGGUCUGCAGUUUCCCAGGGUCUUCCGGGGACGUGCCUGCCUCUCCAGGGCCUGCCCUACCCCUGCUGAAAGUUAAGCCCUUCGAUGCGAUCACGAAGAAAGAGGCGACCCUCCCUCUGGCCCGCGAGUGGCCUCCCAGGGGCCCCUCCGAGAAUGCCAUCUCCCGCGCAGACCCGGCGCUCUGCGCUGCUGCGAAAGCACCCACCUGCCUCUUCGGGACAGAACUGCGCCGUGGCGGCGGGGACAGCCUGAGGGCAGCCGCCCUUACCCAUGAGGGCCAAUGCGGGGCGCAGCCUCCAAACCCGGGGUCUCACCUCUCCCAGAGGAAGGGGUGGACACGCCAGAGCCUGUCCUCGACCCCUUAAGAAGAAGAGAGUGGCAGCAAGGAGUCCCUCUAGUAAUCUCGAAGGGGCUUACACUGGCUCCCCGCGCCUCCUCCCCAAUCGGUCAAGCUGGGAACCCCGGAGGCUGCGCCUAGCGUUUCGUUAGCGUCUCUCCGCCUUCCUGAGGCUUUAGGCUCCUGCGCGGCUUUAUAUUCCCUUUCUCCCCGCCCGACGUGCCUGCACCCCGGACCCUGCCCGGCACGGCACCGGGCUGGGGUCCGCGGGCUGGGGAAGAGAAGGGGGGCUUUGGGUAGCUCGACCUGGCCGCCACAUCCCCGCCUGCAGGGAAACCCUCUCAAAGUCCCGGCGCGAGGGAUUGGGGGCCGGGAGGAGACCCAGCGGGGCCAGGAGUCUCGGGGUCCCUGUGG
Long non-coding RNA from Equus asinus (donkey), 2022 nucleotides. NCBI's taxonomy places the organism in Eukaryota, Metazoa, Chordata, Mammalia, Perissodactyla, Equidae. The record is from Ensembl.